This 440-nucleotide ribosomal RNA is filed under the name uncultured bacterium. RNAcentral describes it as "bacterial SSU rRNA". It matches the Rfam family "Bacterial small subunit ribosomal RNA", at positions 339 to 796 of the family's 1533-position model. The record is from RNAcentral.
CUACGGGAGGCAGCAGUGGGGAAUAUUGGACAAUGGGCGCAAGCCUGAUCCAGCCAUGCCGCGUGAGUGAUGAAGGCCCUAGGGUUGUAAAGCUCUUUUGUGCGGGAAGAUAAUGACGGUACCGCAAGAAUAAGCCCCGGCUAACUUCGUGCCCGCAGCCGCGGUAAUACGAAGGGGGCUAGCGUUGCUCGGAAUCACUGGGCGUAAAGCGCACGUAGGCGGACUCUUAAGUCAGAGGUGAAAUCCUGGAGCUCAACUCCAGAACUGCCUUUGAUACUGGGAGCCUCGAGUUCGGGAGAGGUGAGUGGAACUGCGAGUGUAGAGGUGAAAUUCGUAGAUAUUCGCAAGAACACCAGUGGCGAAGGCGGCUCACUGGCCCGAUACUGACGCUGAGGUGCGAAAGCGUGGGGAGCAAACAGGAUUAGAAACCCGGGUAGUCC